UACGGAGGGGACUAGCGUUGUUCGGAAUUACUGGGCGUAAAGCGCACGUAGGCGGAUUUGUAAGUCAGGGGUGAAAUCCCGGGGCUCAACCUCGGAACUGCCUUUGAUACUGCAAAUCUCGAGUCCGGAAGAGGUGAGUGGAAUUCCUAGUGUAGAGGUGAAAUUCGAUAGAUAUUAGGUAAGGAAACACCAACGUGGGCG
This 201-nucleotide ribosomal RNA is filed under the name uncultured bacterium. Its description in RNAcentral is "partial 16S ribosomal RNA". It matches the Rfam family "Bacterial small subunit ribosomal RNA", at positions 524 to 720 of the family's 1533-position model. The record is from RNAcentral.